This 253-nucleotide ribosomal RNA is filed under the name uncultured bacterium. RNAcentral describes it as "partial 16S ribosomal RNA". It matches the Rfam family "Bacterial small subunit ribosomal RNA", at positions 524 to 776 of the family's 1533-position model. The record is from RNAcentral.
UACGAAGGGGGCUAGCGUUGUUCGGAAUUACUGGGCGUAAAGCGCACGUAGGCGGACUACUAAGUCAGGGGUGAAAUCCCGGGGCUCAACCCCGGAACUGCCUUUGAUACUGAUAGUCUCGAGUCCGGAAGAGGUGAGUGGAAUUCCGAGUGUAGAGGUGAAAUUCGUAGAUAUUCGGAGGAACACCAGUGGCGAAGGCGGCUCACUGGUCCAUUACUGACGCUGAGGUGCGAAAGCGUGGGGAGCAAACAGG